GGCAUCCUUCGGGGUUACAGCCUUGCUGAAUUAUUCACCCGUGUCUUUUGCGUACUUCUUGUUUCCUUGGUGGGUUCGCCCACCAUAGGACAAACCAUAAACCUUUUGUAAUUGCAAUCAGCGUCAGUAAAAAAAAUUAAUAAUUACAACUUUUAACAACGGAUCUCUUGGUUCUGGCAUCGAUGAAGAACGCAGCGAAAUGCGAUAAGUAGUGUGAAUUGCAGAAUUCAGUGAAUCAUCGAAUCUUUGAACGCACAUUGCGCCCUUUGGUAUUCCAAAGGGCAUGCCUGUUCGAGCGUCAUUUGUACCCUCAAGCUUUGCUUGGUGUUGGGCGUCUUGUCUCCAGUUCGCUGGAGACUCGCCUUAAAGUAAUUGGCAGCCGGCCUACUGGUUUCGGAGCGCAGCACAAGUCGCGCUCUCUUCCAGCCAAGGUCAGCAUCCACAAAGCCUUUUUUCAACUUUUGACCUCGGAUCAGGUAGGGAUACCCGCUGAACUUAAGCAUAUCAAUAAGCGGAGGAAAA
Molecule: ribosomal RNA, 522 nt
Filed under: Alternaria consortialis
Lineage: Eukaryota; Fungi; Ascomycota; Dothideomycetes; Pleosporales; Pleosporaceae
Description: eukaryotic LSU rRNA
Rfam family: 5.8S ribosomal RNA (bases 148-301)
Source: RNAcentral